RNAcentral lists this ribosomal RNA (428 nucleotides) under uncultured bacterium. Its description in RNAcentral is "partial 16S ribosomal RNA". It matches the Rfam family "Bacterial small subunit ribosomal RNA", at positions 354 to 796 of the family's 1533-position model. The record is from RNAcentral.
GUGGGGAAUAUUGGGCAAUGGGCGCAAGCCUGACCCAGCAACGCCGCGUGAAGGAAGAAGGCUUUCGGGUUGUAAACUUCUUUUACCAGGGACGAAACAAAUGACGGUACCUGGUGAAUAAGCCACGGCUAACUACGUGCCAGCAGCCGCGGUAAUACGUAGGUGGCGAGCGUUAUCCAGAUUUAUUGGGUGUAAAGGGCGUGUAGGCGGGACAGCAAGUCAGAUGUGAAAACCAGAGGCUCAACCUCUGGCCUGCAUUUGAAACUGUUGUUCUUGAGUGUCGGAGAGGUAAUCGGAAUUCCGUGUGUAGCGGUGAAAUGCGUAGAUAUACGGAGGAACACCAGUGGCGAAGGCGGAUUACUGGACGAUAACUGACGCUGAGGCGCGAAAGCGUGGGGAGCAAACAGGAUUAGAAACCCGUGUAGUCC